UAUUGGUCAAUGGACGAGAGUCUGAACCAGCCAAGUAGCGUGAAGGAUUACUGCCCUAUGGGUUGUAAACUUCUUUUAUAUGGGAAUAAAGUUUUUCACGUGUGGAAUUUUGUAUGUACCAUAUGAAUAAGGAUCGGCUACCUCCGUGCCAGCAGCCGCGGUAAUACGGAGGAUCCGAGCGUUAUCCGGAUUUAUUGGGUUUAAAGGGAGCGUAGGCGGGUUGUUAAGUCAGUUGUGAAAGUUUGCGGCUCAACCGUAAAAUUGCAGUUGAUACUGGCUGUCUUGAGUACAGUAGAGGUGGGCGGAAUUCGUGGUGUAGCGGUGAAAUGCUUAGAUAUCACGCAGAACCCCGAUUGCGAAGGCAGCGUACCGGCGCCCUACUGACGCUGAAGCACGAAAGCGUGGGUAUCGAAC
RNAcentral lists this ribosomal RNA (414 nucleotides) under uncultured bacterium. RNAcentral's name for it is "bacterial SSU rRNA". It matches the Rfam family "Bacterial small subunit ribosomal RNA", at positions 362 to 773 of the family's 1533-position model. The record is from RNAcentral.